RNAcentral lists this ribosomal RNA (253 nucleotides) under uncultured bacterium. Its description in RNAcentral is "partial 16S ribosomal RNA". It matches the Rfam family "Bacterial small subunit ribosomal RNA", at positions 524 to 776 of the family's 1533-position model. The record is from RNAcentral.
UACGUAGGGCGCAAGCGUUAUCCGGAAUUAUUGGGCGUAAAGAGCUCGUAGGCGGUUUGUCGCGUCUGCCGUGAAAGUCCGAGGCUCAACCUCGGGCCUGCAGUGGGUACGGGCAGACUAGAGUGCGGUAGGGGAGAUUGGAAUUCCUGGUGUAGCGGUGGAAUGCGCAGAUAUCAGGAGGAACACCGAUGGCGAAGGCAGAUCUCUGGGCCGUAACUGACGCUGAGGAGCGAAAGCAUGGGGAGCGAACAGG